This is an RNA transcript of Dreissena polymorpha, 1632 nucleotides long. RefSeq lists it as uncharacterized. Lineage: Eukaryota; Metazoa; Mollusca; Bivalvia; Myida; Dreissenidae. The transcript has 5 exons. The record is from RefSeq and is a predicted model, not a curated record.
GCGAUUUUAUUGUGUACGGAGAUGACGUAAUGUUAGUGUCAAAAAUGACGUCAUGGGAUCGCAACAUUAUAGUUUAGAAACUAUGAAGGCAUGAAAAGUGACCGAACCUGUUUAAUUGUCGUCAUCGUUUUUGCAGGAUGGCUAGUCAAUGUGUCUUCAGCUGCAAGCUUAAUAAACAAUCGGCAAGGAGAACGCGGCCUCAACUCCAGUGACGUCAAUCAAGCGGAUCACGUAAUAUCUCGCAAUGAUGGAGGACACGACGGCACACGAAAGUUGACAAACAAUCAACGAAAAGAUGGGUCUACUAUUCAACAACCGGAAGUUGAUAACGAAAGCUCUGCGCGUGAGCGACGUUGGGCAGACUAUGAUCCUAACUAUGACUGGGAAAAUGGCGGGAAGGAUUACGUUGUUCCGGGUAUGGCGCGAAAAAGAAAAGAGACAAAGUUCGAAAAAUUUGCCAAGGAGUGGCAGAAGAAUUCUAUCAAGUACAUCUUCCUGUUUUCGUUCCUUUGCAUGAUCGUCUGCUGCUGUCUCGCCUGCUGCAAGCGCUUAUGCGUGAGGACCUACGAGGUCGUCUGCUUUCAUUGCCGAGACUGGCGCGACCUCUGCCUCAACCGGGAUCCCACUUACAUACGUGCGCGCCAGUUUGCGGACGACUAUGGAAUCAAACUGGACUACGACCAGUACAAGAAAAUCAAAAAGUCCUACGAAGAGGGGCUUAAAAAACAAGGCUACGGCAGUAAAAUUGACCUGUCCGGCCGAGGGAUGAAAGGCGCUGGGCGUUAAAACUUGUUUGUUUGAUUAAUGUAAACGGGAAGCGAUGUACUGGCUAUUUAGCACCGGGGUGCGUUUUGUAAUAUAUGCAAUCAAUGAACAUAAGCACUGUGGUUGCCACGAGACCGCCACGCAGCUGACUGGUGGUUGCAAUGCCAAGAAUUGUAAUCCGUAUACUAAGCGAGGGCAUUGGUACGUCUGCGCACGGAAAUAGCCCGGAAAGGUCUUUAAACUGUUGAUCAUCGAGUCCACAGGCGAUGCUUCUUAACUACUGACAUUUAAAAAAAAAUCUAAAAUUUAAAAAUGCUCCAUAUGUUAUCAAUCAUGCCAAAUCAUUUUAUUCUUUUUUAAUGUAUGUCAGCAUUUGCUCCUGUAAGUUGGUAUCACAAUAUUUUGGUAAAUUAAGAUAUACUUAACAUACGAUAUUGUUCCAAUAGCAAUAUAUAUUUUGUGAGGGUAUAGGAUAACCCGGAGGAAACCUGACCUGUCUGGUAUGGUGACCAACAUUCAAAUGAACGUGAAUCGGGAUCGGGGAUGAAACCCGAGUCGUCUAGGCAAAAGCGUGUGUCAAUACAACCGCACGAUCCGGAUGGCCGAAUUGUUUUGUAUUUGAACGGUCAAUAACAUUGGUUUAAUAGUUUCUUUUACCGCGCCUGAGUUCAGCAAUUUGCUUGAAAGUGCCUAAAUGCUUCGCCCGGUAAAGGCUAUCUAUUCGUCAUAAACACUCAUCAAUUAUUAUAUAAUAUCUAAAGUACGUUUAUUUACGAUAAUGUUCGACUCCAAAUUGCGUCCAUUACAUACAGAAUUUGCCGUUUAAACAUAGAUUGUCCAUGUGUAGAGAAUUCUAUGAUGUAAAUC